Molecule: transfer RNA, 74 nt
Filed under: Streptomyces phage Circinus
Lineage: Duplodnaviria; Heunggongvirae; Uroviricota; Caudoviricetes; Stanwilliamsviridae
Description: tRNA-Lys
Rfam family: tRNA
About the family: Transfer RNA (tRNA) molecules are approximately 80 nucleotides in length.
Source: RNAcentral
GCGCCGGUAGCUCAGUUGGUAGAGCAAGGGACUCUUAAUCCCUGGGUCCACGGUUCGAGUCCGUGUCGGCGUAC